Molecule: RNA transcript, 1046 nt
Organism: Drosophila eugracilis
Lineage: Eukaryota; Metazoa; Arthropoda; Insecta; Diptera; Drosophilidae
Exons: 5
Source: RefSeq, a predicted model, not a curated record
CAUUAAAAAUCAAUAAUUCGACAAGAGUUACAUGGCGAUGACGUCAUCGCGUAUGUUUUGAAAUGCAAUGACAAAGGGGAGAGGAAAAAUUGAGAGUAGGAAGCAGAAGUAAGAUCUUUUGGCAGCGCUGCUUAUCGUCUCUUUCGCAAAACCUUCUGCAGUCAAAAUUUGCAGAGGUUUUUGGUUGACCACUUGUCAGUCUGGAAGCGGUGCACUCCUAGGCAACACGCACUUAUUGUCUGGGCUUUGAAGAAGUGCGGAAAAAAAGCAGAUAAAGUGAUCGCGGAAAAGUGUUAUAGUUUUUUAUAAUAUACGAGUAUAUUCAUUUAAUUGUGAAUUUUUCUAUUUUUUAUGCCCAACUACAUACAUACAUAUGGUGAUCCGCUGGCAAGGUGAGAAUGUAUGUGUACGCGACUAAAAAAUGUGAAUACAUCCCUGUUUCUCCCCGUGGGACACCGAAAAUGUCAAAUGCGAUGCUGAAUAAUCUUCAAAUCUAACAAAACAAUAGUCUAGGAUUAUAUUGAUCCUACACCAACUUAACUUCGAAGGAAGUUCCAUAACCUGCGCUGAAUCAAUUUAAAAACUAAGUGAAAAGUGAAAGUAAAAAAGUGAAAUGAAUGUAUGAUAUCUGCAUUUGUGUGUGGUACCAUGUUGCCUUAAGUGAAAAGUGAAAGUGAAAAAGUGAAAUGAAUUUAUGAUAAUUGCAUACGAAAAAAGGAUGAUACGAUGUUAAGGUGCAUAAAUAAUAUAGAAAAACUUAUAAACGUCGCUCAACAAUCAACCAAUUCCAAACAGCAUCUUUAAUAAUACGGAUAUUUAAGGUCAGUUAUCCCUGAAAUGUUUUUCUAUUUUAUAUUUCUAUAUCUAUAUCUUCUAUAUUUUUUCGAAGAUUUUAAACAUAUUUCACAGUCUUAAAUAUUUUCUCCUACUUUCUUAUGAAUGACAAAUAAUUUGGUGAAUAAUUGUUCUUAGUUGUAAGUUAUAGACAUUAUCAUUAUUAUUUCAUCAAAAUACAUUCCAUUCUGUUUUCUCGAAUUUUAUUUCUU